UCAAAUUUUUACGUUAUCUUGCAACUGUGUUGGCAAUUUGUAGAUUUGUUCUUUGCAAUGUCUUUGUAAUGUUUCAUUGCAACUUGCAAAAUUGCAAUGAAACAUUACAGAGACAUUCCUACAAUGUAAUUGUAAUAAUUUGUAUUGUAUGCAGGUUCUCUCGUUUUAUCAAACAUAGAAUUAUUUUUAACUCACUCCAAAACGUAAAUAGCAUCUAUGGUAAGGAUUCAAACGUCUAGUCCGUGGGCCGUACCUUUGACACCCCUGAUCUAUGGUAUGUCUAUUAUGCCUAUGUAUAUACUACACGAUGUGGUAAAAGAUAACGAUUUCGUUGUAUUAAUGAGAGCUUGCUAUUUCCAGUUUGACUGCGUCGAAAGAAUAAGUAAGAUUAAGUGUAUUAAUUAUUAAAUACACAUUUAAGUGUUGAUACGCGUUAAGUGCACAAGUAUUAAUACGCGAUUAAGAACACGUUUAAGUGUUACGCAAUUGAAUAUAAGAACACGAUUAAAAUUCACUUUCAACAGAACUUUGUUGAGUGAAAUUGUUGGCUAUGUUGAUAACAUCGAAUCUCCACGUUGCGUGGGCUCGCAACAACAAUAUAAGUUCUUCAAAUUUUAUUUAAAUAACGGAAAAGGAAAAAGGGUUCAAAUUGUUGCCUGGAAUGAUGACAUUGAUUUUGUGGAACAUCAUAUAAAAGUAAACACUUAUUGAGAGGAUACGUAAAGACGAAUUUUGCUGAAGUAUAUAACAACAACAUGAACAAAAUUAUUGGAUGUGGUGCAAUAACUGAUGGCACAUUCAAACUGGAAAUUCAUGUAAUAAAUUUUAGUAACGAUGAUUAUACUUUACUUGAUAUUAGAAAAGGUGAUCAUGUAGAAAUUAUUGGUAUCAUGCAAACUACAGGAUCAGAAUAAGAGAAAUUCAACUUCCACGUCCA
Molecule: RNA transcript, 937 nt
Organism: Camponotus floridanus (Florida carpenter ant)
Lineage: Eukaryota; Metazoa; Arthropoda; Insecta; Hymenoptera; Formicidae
Exons: 4
Source: RefSeq, a predicted model, not a curated record